UCCAUCACUGCUCUACGCUACACCUCCGAUCUCAUUCCCUGCACAUUUCAAUUAUCUAUCCAAUUAAGAUAUACCACGCAACAAAACGACCCCGUUCUAACCCCUGGAAAUGACGAAAACACCUCCAAGUACACUUUGCUGAAGACCGCGUUGGUGCACCCAGAUAUUUCUCAACGCGUAAUUAGACACCACCGUUUAGUUUUUAAAUUCCGUUUAGUUUUUAAAUUUCAUCCAUUCUUUUUUCCAUUUCCUCCCUCUCUUUUUUUUUUUUUUUUUUUUU
RNAcentral lists this long non-coding RNA (280 nucleotides) under Populus trichocarpa (black cottonwood). RNAcentral describes it as "long non-coding RNA (PTRI_LNC001550)". Lineage: Eukaryota; Viridiplantae; Streptophyta; Magnoliopsida; Malpighiales; Salicaceae. The record is from RNAcentral.